UUAGAAGUGGUUGAGUGGUUUAAAACGACGCUUUGCUAAAGCGUUAAAUGGAUUUGUCUAUUUCGUGCGUUCGAAUCGCAUCUUCUAAA
This 89-nucleotide transfer RNA is filed under the name Chrysochromulina parva. RNAcentral's name for it is "tRNA-Ser". It matches the Rfam family "tRNA". From Rfam's summary of the family: Transfer RNA (tRNA) molecules are approximately 80 nucleotides in length. RNAcentral also lists the same sequence under 1 other name. Lineage: Eukaryota; Haptophyta; Prymnesiales; Chrysochromulinaceae. The record is from RNAcentral.